RNAcentral lists this ribosomal RNA (253 nucleotides) under uncultured bacterium. RNAcentral's name for it is "partial 16S ribosomal RNA". It matches the Rfam family "Bacterial small subunit ribosomal RNA", at positions 524 to 776 of the family's 1533-position model. The record is from RNAcentral.
UACAGAGGGGGCAAGCGUUAUUCGGAAUUAUUGGGCGUAAAGGGCGCGUAGGCGGCUUGGCAAGUGGAUGGUGAAAUCCCUCGGCUUAACCGAGGAACUGCCGUCCAAACUGCUUCGCUUGAGACCGGGAGAGGUGAGUGGAAUUCCCAGUGUAGCGGUGAAAUGCGUAGAUAUUGGGAGGAACACCAGUGGCGAAGGCGGCUCACUGGACCGGUACUGACGCUGAAGUGCGAAAGCGUGGGGAGCAAACGGG